UUAGCACUCUGGACUCUGAAUCC
RNAcentral lists this non-coding RNA (23 nucleotides) under Gallus gallus (chicken). RNAcentral also lists the same sequence under 2 other names. The record is from RNAcentral. Lineage: Eukaryota; Metazoa; Chordata; Aves; Galliformes; Phasianidae.